UGGCUCAGUAGGUAGAGCAUGGUGUUUGCAACGCCAGCAUGGUGUGUGCAACGCCAGGGUUGUGGGUUCGAUUCCCAC
This is a non-coding RNA of Salmo salar (Atlantic salmon), 78 nucleotides long. The record is from Rfam. Lineage: Eukaryota; Metazoa; Chordata; Actinopteri; Salmoniformes; Salmonidae.